RNAcentral lists this ribosomal RNA (430 nucleotides) under uncultured archaeon. RNAcentral's name for it is "bacterial SSU rRNA". It matches the Rfam family "Archaeal small subunit ribosomal RNA", at positions 474 to 903 of the family's 1478-position model. The record is from RNAcentral.
UACCAGCUCUCCGAGUGGUGUGGAUGUUUAUUGGGCCUAAAGCAUCCGUAGCUGGCUGGGCAAGUCCCCUGUUAAAUCCACCGAUUUAAUCGUUGGUGUGCGGGGGAUACUGUUCGGCUAGGGGACGGGAGAGGCCGACGGUAUUUUCGGGGUAGGGGUGAAAUCCUAUAAUCCCGGGAAGACCACCAGUGGCGAAGGCUGUCGGCUAGAACGCGCCCGACGGUGAGGGAUGAAAGCUGGGGGAGCGAACCGGAUUAGAUACCCGGGUAGUCCCAGCUCGUAAACGAUGCAGGCUAGGUGUUUGGGCGGCCACGUGCCGCUCUAGUGCCGCAGAGAAGUCGUUAAGCCUGCCGCCUGGGGAGUACGGCCGCAAGGCUGAAACUUAAAGGAAUUGGCGGGGGUGCACCACAAGGGGUGAAGCUUGCGGUUU